GUCAAAGCUACUAAGGGCUCACGGUGGAUGCCUUGGUGCUAGGCGGCGAUGAAGGGCGUGACAGACUGCGAUAAGCUUCGGGUAGUUGUUUAUAUGCUUUGAUCCGAAGAUUCCCGAAUCGGGCAACCGGAUAGGUAGUAAUACCUGUCGCCUGUGCGGUAACAGUACAGGCGCGAACCAGGAGAAGUGAAACAUCUCAGUACCCUGAGGAAAAGAAAGAAAACUCGAUUUCCCGAGUAGCGGCGAGCGAAACGGAAUCAGCCUAAACCAGGCAUACACGUAUGUCUGGGGUUGUGGGACCUUCAAACAGGCAGCGGUCUUUUAGCUUAACGUCCCUGGAAUAGGGCGACCAGAGAAGGUUACAGUCCUGUGAGUGAAAAGAGACACCUGCUUAGAAGGAAUCCCGAGUACCACGGGAUAGACGAACCUGUGGGAAUCCAGGAGGACCACCUCCUAAGGCUAAAUACGUCCUAGCGACCGAUAGUGAACAAGUACUGUGAAGGAAAGGUGAAAAGUUCCCCUGUUAGGGAAGUGAAAUAGAACCUGAAACCGUGAGCUUACAAGCUGUGGAAGUGCGAGAUCGGGUAACCGAUGUGCAUGACCGCGUGCCUUUUGCAUAAUGAGCCGGUGACUUACUUUACGUAGCAAGAUUAAGCUUUUCCGAAGCGGAGUCGUAGCGAAAGCGAGUCUGAAUAGGGCGAUAAGUUGCGUGGAGUAGACCCGAAACUGGGUGAUCUAUCCAUGGGCAGGAUGAAGCAUAUGUAGAAGUAUGUGGAGGUCCGAACCCACCAGGGCUGAAAACCUGGGGGAUGACCUGUGGAUCGGAGUGAAAGGCUAAUCAAACCCAGUGAUAGCUGGUUCUCCUCGAAAUAGCUUUAGGGCUAGCCUCAUGUGUUUGGCAAUGGUGGUAGAGCUCUGGUUGGACUAGCGGGACUACCAUCUUAGCAACUCCAGUCAAACUGCAAAUGCCAUUGCCUGAAGCAUGGGAGUCAGUCUGCGGGGGAUAAGCUCCGUUGACGAAAGGGAAACAGCCCAGAUCGCCAGCUAAGGUCCCAAAAUACAAGCUAAGUGGUAAAGGAUGUAAUGUUACACAGACAACCAGGAUGUUGGCUUAGAAGCAGCCAUUCAUUUAAAGAGUGCGUAACUGCUCACUGGUCGAGUGACUGUGCACCGAAAAUGUACCGGGGCUAAGCUUGUUACCGAAGCUGCGGAUUCUAAUCUAAUAGACUAGAGUGGUAGAGGAGCGUUCUAUUGUAGGACGAAGGUAAAUCGAAAGACUUACUGGACGAACUAGAAGUGACCAUGCCGGCAUAAGUAGCGAUAAAACAUGUGAGAAGCGUGUUCACCGAAAACCUAAGGUUUCCUAGGGCAAGGCAAAUCCGCCCGGGGUUAGUCGUAUCCUAAGGCGAGGCCGAAAGGCGUAGUCGAUGGGAAUCAGGUUAAUAUUCCUGAACCACCGAGGGAGAUUGAAAUACCAAGGGACGCAAAAUAUGAGAACUGAAUAGGUGAUGGUCCGAAGCGUCAAGGGCUUCUUCUCUUAAUAAGAAGCUUCAGUUUGAUUUUUUGCCGAGAAAAGCUUGGUGUGGACGAACUUUGGUGUACGUACCGUAAACCGACACAGGUAGGUGAGGAGAGAAUCCUAAGGUGCUCGAGAGAACUCUGGCUAAGGAACUCGGCAAAAUGAUCCCGUAACUUCGGAAGAAGGGAUGCUCGCAAGAGCCGCAGUGAAAUGGCCUAUGCGACUGUUUACUAAAAACACAGGUCUGUGCUAAAUCGCAAGAUGAUGUAUACGGACUGACGCCUGCCCGGUGCCGAAAGGUUAUGGUGAUGGGUGAAGGGGCAACCUGGAAGCUUUGACCCGAAGCCUCGGUGAACGGCGGCGGUAACUAUAACCGUCCUAAGGUAGCGAAAUUCCUCGUCGGGUAAAAUCCGACCUGCACGAAUGGCGUAACGACAUAGGCACUGUCUCGGCCAGAGACUCGGCGAAAUUGUAAUACCGGUGAAGAUGCCGGUUACCCAUAGAAAGACGGAAAGACCCCGUGAACCUUUACUAUAACCUGAUAUUGGGUUUUGGUGUAGCAUGUGUAGGAUAGGUGGGAGACUUUGAAGUUGGGGCGCUAGCUUCAAUGGAGUUGCCCUUGAAAUACCACUCUUGUUGCCCUAGAAUUCUAACUUUGGUUCGUGUAUCCGGAUCAAGGACAGUGUCAGGCGGGUAGUUUGACUGGGGCGGUCGCCUCCCAAAUCGUAACGGAGGCGCUCAAAGGUUCCCUCAGCGUGAUUGGAAACCACGCGUAGAGUGUAAAGGCACAAGGGAGCUUGACUGCGAGACAGACAUGUCGAGCAGGUGCGAAAGCAGGACUUAGUGAUCUUGCGGUGCUGUGUGGAAAGGCCGUAACUCAACGGAUAAAAGGUACUCCGGGGAUAACAGGCUUAUCGCGCCCAAGCGCUCAUAGCGACGGCGCGGUUUGGCACCUCGAUGUCGGCUCAUCACAUCCUGGGGCUGUAGGCGGUCCCAAGGGUUGGGCUGUUCGCCCAUUAAAGUGGUACGUGAGCUGGGUUUAGAACGUCGUGAGACAGUUCGGUCCCUAUCUUCUAUGGGCGUAGGAAAUUUGAGAGGAGCUGUUGCUAGUAUGAGAAGACCGUGAUGGACGAACCUCUAGUGUACCAGUUGUCACGCCAGUGGCACGGCUGGGUAGCUAUGUUCGGAAGGGAUAAACGCUGAAAGCAUCUAAGCGUGAAGCCCACCUCAAGAUAAGAUUUCCCACAGAGUUAAUCUGAUAAGGAUCCUUCGAGAUAAGGAGGUUGAUAGGUCAGGUGUGUAAGUGUGGUGACACAUUCAGCAGACUGGCACUAAUAAUCCGAAGGCUUUGACUU
This 2874-nucleotide ribosomal RNA is filed under the name Candidatus Poribacteria bacterium. RNAcentral describes it as "23S ribosomal RNA". It matches the Rfam family "Bacterial large subunit ribosomal RNA". Lineage: Bacteria; Candidatus Poribacteria. The record is from RNAcentral.